AUCCCUUCCCCACCUUUUGGCUAAGAUCUACUGUAGUAUCUGUUCUUAUCGGUUUAAUAUCCCCUUUCCAAACAUAUUUUAAAGAAUAUUUUAAGGUUAGCCACUGCACUGACCACCU
This is a small nuclear RNA of Heterocephalus glaber (naked mole-rat), 118 nucleotides long. Its record names the gene U2. It matches the Rfam family "U2 spliceosomal RNA". From Rfam's summary of the family: U2 is a small nuclear RNA (snRNA) component of the spliceosome (involved in pre-mRNA splicing). NCBI's taxonomy places the organism in Eukaryota, Metazoa, Chordata, Mammalia, Rodentia, Bathyergidae. The record is from Ensembl.